GAACAUGAGAGUUUGAUCCUGGCUCAGGACGAACGCUGGCGGCGUGCCUAACACAUGCAAGUCGAGCGGAGGGGAUAGGAGCUUGCUCCUUGAACCUUAGCGGCGGACGGGUGAGUAACACGUGGGUAACCUGCCCUUGAGAGGGGGAUAACAGGGUCGAAAGGCCUGCUAAUACCGCAUAACGCUAAGAUGCCGCAUGGCGUCUUAGCCAAAGGUUAAUUCCGCUCAAGGAUGGGCCCGCGGCCCAUUAGCUAGUUGGUGAGGUAAUGGCUCACCAAGGCGACGAUGGGUAGCCGGCCUGAGAGGGUGGUCGGCCACACUGGGACUGAGACACGGCCCAGACUCCUACGGGAGGCAGCAGUGGGGAAUA
Molecule: non-coding RNA, 370 nt
Filed under: Thermobrachium celere DSM 8682
Lineage: Bacteria; Bacillati; Bacillota; Clostridia; Eubacteriales; Clostridiaceae
Description: Bacterial small subunit ribosomal RNA
Rfam family: Bacterial small subunit ribosomal RNA
Source: Rfam by way of RNAcentral